CUAAUAUCAAAAGAUAAAAUCCCUAUCAACUCACCAAUGCACGAUUGAUCCUAUAAACAAAAAGUGUUCAUCUAAUACACGUCCAAAUAAGCAGCAAAUCUAGAAGAAAAUCUUUCAACUUAUGUCAUCAAUUUUGGGCGGUAAGCUGCGAUUGGAUCAUAUAGUAACACGUGUUUAAUCCCGAUCAACACUUGCAGAUCUAGAGACGAGCAUGAGUUUAAAAAAAAUUCACAAAGUAUAUUCCUGAAUAUAUAUAAUACUAAGACAAAAUCCAUUUUUUUCAUAAAUAUUUCAUUCCCUAAUGAACUAGGAAAUUCAUUCUUUUGAUACCUUUAUAUUGUUAUCGAAUUUAUAUCAGUGGCGGAUACAUGUCUAAAUCCAGAACAAAACAGGGGGGUUCAACUUUAUGUCCCCAUUAAAAGCAUUGAUCGUCAAAAAAAGGGUUGUUCCACCCCCCGGGACCCCCAUCACUGCAUAUUAAAUUCAUGUAUUUGGCAACAAACGCGCGAUUUUUACGAUUUUUUUUAAAGGGGGAAUGGGGGAUUGAAUGGUUCAUCCUGCAUUUUUUCAUCAAACAUAAAGAUUACAGCCUGUGUAUUUUAAAACGAAUUAGCCCCACCCCCCCCUCCCCCUCCCCGCUUUCCGUUUUAUUCAUAAAAAUCAAACGUUAUCUUACUUACCACUAAAAUAUUCCUUAAUAUAUUACUUUUUUACGAAGUUGCAUUUUAAAAAGUCUUAAAUGUGUACAACAAUUAUCUUUUACUUGAAAUAGUUCUUUUUUUUAUCAAAUUAUAAGAUUCCUGAUUUUUUUUCUUGAAAAAAAAUCACGGUUGAAGGGAAAGGAAAAAAAAAAUGUGUUUAUACUAUAACUUACAUUUACUGCUUUAUUGCUAUCCAAGUUUCUCAAAUGUUUAGUCUUGCUUAAAAUAUUAUUACUUGAAACGUCGUACAAGUCAGAUAAAAAAACAAAAGUAACAAAAGAAACAGGCCGGUUACAACCAGCCGAAUAGUUUUUCUGCACUUGUAGUCAGGUCAAGGUCCUCGGC
Molecule: long non-coding RNA, 1046 nt
Filed under: Mytilus galloprovincialis (Mediterranean mussel)
Lineage: Eukaryota; Metazoa; Mollusca; Bivalvia; Mytilida; Mytilidae
Source: RNAcentral